This 253-nucleotide ribosomal RNA is filed under the name uncultured bacterium. Its description in RNAcentral is "partial 16S ribosomal RNA". It matches the Rfam family "Bacterial small subunit ribosomal RNA", at positions 524 to 776 of the family's 1533-position model. The record is from RNAcentral.
UACAGAGGUCUCAACCGUUGUUCGGAUUCAUUGGGCGUAAAGGGUGCGUAGGCGGUCGUGCAAGUCGGAUGUGAAAUCUCAGGGCUCAACCCUGAAACUGCAUUCGAUACUGCGCGGCUAGAGUGCUGGAGGGGAGACUGGAAUUUACGGUGUAGCAGUGAAAUGCGUAGAUAUCGUAAGGAAGACCAGUGGCGAAGGCGAGGCUCGGGACAGCAACUGACGCUGAGGCACGAAGGCCAGGGGAGCAAACGGG